CUGUGGGACAGCAGGCGGAUGCCUACCCCCGCUCAGCAAGCAGGCAGCCCAGCUUCCGUACCCAGGGUGGAGAGGAGGGUGGCAGGGGCCUCCCUCGGGCGUUUGCUGGCUUGUGCAAACUCCAGGAGAGAUGCGCCUACCGUCAGCUCAUCCUGGGCACCAGACCCAGCCGCCAGCCAGGCAGCAGGAGCCCUGCCCACACCCAGCUCCUCGUCCCCAGCCGGGGCCCUGGGCGGCACGAGCCCUGGGGACCGCUGGCUGGUCUUCCUCUGCCCCGUGGGUUUCCAUGAGACGUGUUUGCUUCUGUUUCAGCCUUUGGUUUCACUUGCAGUCAGCUGCCCCAGGCCCCCCUCGGGCGCCCCCUCAAGUGUGCCGAGUGCGGAGUCCCCCGUGCUGCCGAUGCCUCCCGCGACGUCUCCAGCAGUGCCGUGUUAGUGCCUUGCUGCCCGCCACGGGGCGCCCGCCGCCCUGCCCCCGCUCACGUCUGUGUUCUGUGUUCUUGCUCUCUCCAGGCCGCUGACCCCAGGUUUCCUCGGGGGCCUCUGCCCUGCCUCACCCCCACCCCAGGCUCUCUCUUCCAUGUUCCAGGCACUGGGCUCUGUGCCGUGAGCAAGGCGGGCGGGAGGCAGAGUGACCCAGGCCAGUGGUGGUGGGGAUGGGAGCACGGCCACCCCCCCCCCCGAGGGCCAGGGCCAGGUGUGGGGCUGGCUGCUACUGCUUCCUGGUCACACCCCAAAAAUGCUGCUGGCCAGAGCCUGGGCACAGGAGGGCAGGGAGCCUGGGCUGUGUGGGGGUGCAUGAGUGUGAAACUGUGAUAUGAGUGUGAGCAAGAACAUGUCUAAGGGUGAUGGCAUGUACACGGUGUGUGCUAGUGUGCACAUGUGUAAGAGUGGGUGCAUGUGUGCUGUGUGCUAGUGUCACAUGAGGUGAGAGUGGGUGGAUGUGAACGUGCAUGUGUGCGGUGUGUGUAGUUGUAUAAGCAUCUAAGUGUAUGGGUGUGUGUGAUUGAACGUGUGAAGAUGUGUUAGAGGUGUGCACGUGUGUGUGAGUGUGUGCAUAUGUGUGUAAUGUAGCCACAGCCAAGGGAACUGGUGGCCGGGCUUGGAGUCAGCGGCCGAUGGCAGACUGGCUUUCAGAGAGGCUCUGAGCUGUGCUGGGCAGUGUGGGUUCAGGUGGGCAGGCUUGAGGGUUGAGCGUCCAGGCCUCCGGCUUCCGCAAGUCACAGUGAUGGCCAAGCCCCUAGACCCUUACCCACCAGGCCCCUCUGUUUCCUGAGCUGGGCCCUGGAUCCCAGGAUUUUAGGAGCCUUAAGAGAGAGGGCCGGGGCCGUGGGCCCGCAGGAGGCGAGCUGGAUGCAGAGAUGUGGCAGGAUUACCCUACACUGACAGGCGGGUGAGGCACAAGGCCAGCCAAGCUGUGUGACCUGCCGUCACGCCUGGGUCCCACGCUGGCUGAGAGACAGGGCAGCCUGCUCAGGGAGGGCCAGGUAUUUGGGGUUAGCAGCCUUGCUGGGUGAAGGACCCACCCCAGGUGGGAGGCCGUGGGAAACUCUGCUGCAGCCUGAGGAAGCCUUAGAGAACCUCGGUGGGGCAGGAGAUGGGGUGGCACCCCCAGGCUCUGCCCAGAUCGCCCCACACCUCAAGGCCUCUGACUCCCAGCCUAUGGGUAGAGGUGUUUGUGAAGCUGCAGAGGCUGGGGGUAACAUGUGGUCCCCAAGCCCAAGCCAUCUGCCAGCCUGGGGAAGAUGGGCUGUAAGUGUCAGGCCUGGAGGCUGCUCCCUGUGGACAGUCAGGGAAGGUGACGUGGGGGGCUGAGAGAGGCUCCCCUGACUCAAGAACAUCUGCUUUGGAAGGGAGAAGACAGGUUGCCAGACACUCCACCUUAGUAGGAAACCAAGGCCCAGAGCCGUUGGGGAUGCGUGGGCACUUGUGCAGGCCAGUGGGUGCCGUGCUGUGCCCGCCUCGGGAUGUGGAAUGAGCAGGCAGUGCAGCCUGGAGGGGAGGGGCAGGGGCUGCCUGCCCACCCAGCAGGGCAGGCUCCAGGCCUAGGGCCCUGGCGUUGGGGGUUUGUGCCUGGCACAGAAGGCCCAGUGAAUAG
RNAcentral lists this long non-coding RNA (2097 nucleotides) under Marmota monax (woodchuck). Lineage: Eukaryota; Metazoa; Chordata; Mammalia; Rodentia; Sciuridae. The record is from RNAcentral.